UUACCUAAAUUGCAUUGCCAUGCCAGAACAAUGGCAUGUGGCUCGGGUGCACUGCCAGAAGAGCUGUCGAAUGGGAGAGGAUUUUGGGUGCACGAAGUGAAUGCCGUGGCAGCUCUUUGGGGCAGAGCAAAAACUCAAGUCGACAUGUAAAUGUAAUUAAAGUGCAGUUAGCUCACACAGACACUGAGGGGCAUGCCAAAUGAAAUUGAAAUAAAUUAUUGACUAAUUGUCAACUCAGACAAGGACAAGCUGUGGCGCAGCCUCUCCUUCCGCUUCUCUGUUUGCAAUCAAAUCUCAAAUCAAAACCAAACAACAACGGCAGCUAAUUUGCCAGGGAAAAACUUGAAGCCCUGUGGAACCCACUCUGCUCCUUUUUCGGCCACGUUUGCAUUUAAUUUAAUUUGAUUGUUCUUGUCUGGGCCCCAUGAAUGGCCCUCGGGGAUGUAUCAGUGCCAGUCAGUGCCUUAAAGAGGUCAUCAAAAUUUAAAGGUGGAAUUUGCAACUUGGAGUCUGCCACUUCAAUCAAGAUUAAUUGCUUCAAUAGCCAAUUCAAGGUAAGAUAAGCCACUCGGCUCCCACUCAGUUGGGUCCACAAAUUUAUGAAUUCUUUUGCAGAUGAUCGAUUCAUCCAGCCCCACACUCGAGUGUAGUUCCCACUGCCAUUGACUGGACUUAUGCAAUCCGCUGAAAUAUCACUGUCCAAACAAGAUCUGCUCUUUGCAGUGGAGCUGUCAAUAGAUCCC
RNAcentral lists this long non-coding RNA (743 nucleotides) under Drosophila guanche. Lineage: Eukaryota; Metazoa; Arthropoda; Insecta; Diptera; Drosophilidae. The record is from RNAcentral.